This 1581-nucleotide ribosomal RNA is filed under the name Triticum aestivum (bread wheat). Its description in RNAcentral is "partial small subunit ribosomal RNA". The record is from RNAcentral. Lineage: Eukaryota; Viridiplantae; Streptophyta; Magnoliopsida; Poales; Poaceae.
GGUUUCAUAAGCAUCGACUGUGGAUAUACUGCAAACCAGACCUACACAGAUAGCAGGACAGGCAUAUCAUAUGCAAGCGAUGAGGGUUACACUGAUGCAGGACUGAUCCACCCUGUUGAUAAAGGUAAUCUGCAGACUGACCUUGCAGACCGAUACCUUAACCUUCGCUUCUUUCCCAGUGGAGAGCGUAACUGCUACACGCUGCGGUCCCUAACACCGGGUGGCAAGUACCUUGUCAGGGCUGCAUUUGGCUAUGGUGACUAUGAUAAACUAAACAAAAAUCCUACCUUUGAUCUCUAUUUUGGGGUCAAUUACUGGACAACAGUGACCAUUGUCAGUUCCAGUACAGCAUAUGUGUUUGAGAUAAUUGCCGUGUGCCCUGCCGACUUCCUACAAAUUUGCUUGGUGAAUAAAGGAUCGGGAACUCCUUUCAUCUCAGGGCUUGACUUGAGGUCACUGACAUCAGAUCUUUAUCUGGAGGCCAAUGUGACACAGUCUCUGGUUUUGCUCAGCUUUUUCCGUGAUACAGUUGGUUUUGGGCCCAACCGCUAUCACUUUGGGACAAACUAUCAGCACAUUAGGUUCCCAGAUGACCCCUAUGACCGUAUGUGGCAGAGGUAUGAAAACGUAGACGGCUGGACAGACGUACCCAACAAAUCCAACGGGGAAAUAAAAAACUCCACAAACGACAACUAUGAUGCACCAUCUGCAGUGAUGCGUAGUGCAUCCAUUCCAGUGAAUGACUCAAGGAUGGACUUAUCGUGGAGUUCAGAUUCUUCCAUGAAUGUUGGUGUUGACCCCAAGUUCUUUCUUGUACUCUACUUUGCCGAGUUGGAAGCAGUCCAAGAGUUAAGGCAAUUUGAUGUCUCUGUGGAUAACAACCCAUUAGCUUCUGCAUUCAGCCCAAAAUUCUUGCUGCCUACUGUUCUCUCAGGGAUUGUGCAAGGCUCAAACGAGCAUAGCAUCUCCCUUGUGGCAACAUCAAACUCGGCGCUUCAGCCUUUGAUCAGCGCGAUGGAGAUAUACAUGCUGCGGCCAGUGAAUGAAUCUACCACUGACUCUUUAGAUGCCAACGCUAUGAUGACCAUCCAGGAGAAGUUCUCUGUGAAAAAAAAUUGGGUGGGUGAUCCAUGUGCCCCUAUAUCUUUUGCAUGGAAUGGCUUGAACUGUAGUUAUACUCCCAACAGUCCUAGAAUAACAGCCUUAAACAUGUCAUCCAGUGGAUUGGUUGGUGAAAUUGAUGCUUCUUUUGGUCAGCUAACACUGCUCCAACACUUGGAUCUAUCUCACAACAGUCUGUCUGGAUCAAUACCUGAUUUUCUUGGUCAAGUGCCAGCACUUAAAUCUCUGGACUUGUCGAGCAACAACCUCAGUGGAUCAAUUCCUUGGAGUCUGCUAGAAAAAACUCAGCGUGGGCUUUUGACAUUAAGGGUCGACGAUAACCCAGGUCUUUGUGGAAAUAAUACAUGCAAUCCGAUUCAGAAAAAGAGGAGGAACAAGACAAAACUACUUCAGAUUGUUAUUUCAGUAGUUGUUUCAGUAUCACUACUAGUUCUGGCUGUAUUUUUGCUUGUCAUUUGA